UACGUAGGGUGCGAGCGUUAAUCGGAAUUACUGGGCGUAAAGCGUGCGCAGGCGGUUUUGUAAGCCCGAUGUGAAAUCCCCGGGCUCAACCUGGGAAUGGCAUUUGGGACUGCAAGGCUCGAGUGCGGCAGAGGAGACUGGAAUUCCUGGUGUAGCAGUGAAAUGCGUAGAUAUCAGGAGGAAUACCGAUGGCGAAGGCAGGUCUCUGGGCUGACACUGACGCUCAUGCACGAAAGCGUGGGGAGCAAACAGG
This 253-nucleotide ribosomal RNA is filed under the name uncultured bacterium. Its description in RNAcentral is "partial 16S ribosomal RNA". It matches the Rfam family "Bacterial small subunit ribosomal RNA", at positions 524 to 776 of the family's 1533-position model. The record is from RNAcentral.